Molecule: ribosomal RNA, 376 nt
Filed under: uncultured bacterium
Lineage: Bacteria
Description: bacterial SSU rRNA
Rfam family: Bacterial small subunit ribosomal RNA
Source: RNAcentral
UACGUAGGUGGCAAGCGUUGUCCGGAUUUACUGGGCGUAAAGGGAGCGUAGGCGGAUACUUAAGUGGGAUGUGAAAUACCUGGGCUUAACUUGGGUGCUGCAUUCCAAACUGGGUGUCUAGAGUGCUGGAGAGGAAAGUGGAAUUCCUAGUGUAGCGGUGAAAUGCGUAGAGAUUAGGAAGAACACCAGUGGCGAAGGCGACUCUCUGGACAAUAACUGAUGCUGAGGCUCGAAAGCGUGGGGAGCAAACAGGAUUAGAUACCCUGGUAGUCCACGCCGUAAACGAUGGGUACUAGGUGUAGGAGGUAUCGACUCCUCCUGUGCCGCCGUUAACACAAUAAGUACCCCGCCUGGGGAGUACGGUCGCAAGAUUAAA